Magnolia sinica is the source of this 1041-nucleotide long non-coding RNA. RefSeq lists it as uncharacterized. The transcript is spliced from 2 exons. Lineage: Eukaryota; Viridiplantae; Streptophyta; Magnoliopsida; Magnoliales; Magnoliaceae. The record is from RefSeq and is a predicted model, not a curated record.
GUGUUGCACCAUUUUUUAAGUCGAGGGUACGUGGGGCCCACAUUUUGGUGAUCUUGACUGUUCAUCUGGUGGGCCCCUGUGGUUAAUGCCCUAGAAUUGGAAACGGAUUGGCUUCUCCCCCUGACACCAGCAUUGGCUGGUGGUCGGUGCUCUGUGGGGCCCACCAUGAUGUAUGUGUUUCAUCCAUGCCGUCCAUCUAUUUUUACAGAUCAUUUUAAGGUAUGAGACCAAAAAUGAGAUAUGUCCCAGUCUCAAUUGGACUACAUUACAGGAAACAGUGUUUAAUGAGCGUCGACUAUUAAAAACAUUUUGGGGGCCAUAAAAGUUUUGGAUCAAGCUGAUUUUUGUUUUUUUUCCUUCACCUGGGCCUGUAUGACCUAAUCAACAGAUUGGAUGUCAAAUAAACAGAACUGUGGGCCUUAGGAGGAUAUUAAUGGUGGAUAUCCAAUCACUAUUGUUUUCAUGUGGUGUGGUCCACCCGAAGUUUAUGUAUCUCUCAUUUUUUGGAUCAAGCCCUCAAAUGAUCUUCAAAAAUGGAUGAACAGAAUGGAUGAAACACAUACAUCAUCGUGGGGCCCACAGAGCACCGACCACUGGUGGCAGGGGGAGUCGUCCAUCCGUUUCCUAGUGUCCUGAAGCCCCAAACCAUACAGUGGGCCCCACUUAUCGUGUUAGGUUCCAUAAGACCUGUGUGCUAUUGAUGAACGGUCAAAACAGCCGGAUGACCGGGUCUGGAUCUUCCAUGACUCUGCCAGCUGUACACAAAAGCAGGAGCUCGACUUGGCUGCGAUCCCGGAGACAGCUGUGGGUGGGCCUAUGGUCAGGGUCGCAGCCAAAUCGAGCAGUGACCACGAGGGCACAUGUAGACAUUUGAAUCUUGACCAUCCAUCUAAGUAGCUGAUGAUGUGAAGGCCACCUCAAAUGGGUGGAAAUCAUAUCAAGUCAAUGCUAUUUUUUCAAAAAACUAUUUCUAGAUCUGUGGAUGGACAGCUCCUCACGCCGUCCUUAUACGGCGGAAGAUAUCUUAACAAAAUUUUUCCA